Molecule: ribosomal RNA, 389 nt
Filed under: uncultured bacterium
Lineage: Bacteria
Description: bacterial SSU rRNA
Rfam family: Bacterial small subunit ribosomal RNA
Source: RNAcentral
GACGAACGCUGGCGGCGUGCUUAACACAUGCAAGUCGAGCGGUAAGGCCCUUUCGGGGGUACACGAGCGGCGAACGGGUGAGUAACACGUGGGUGACCUGCCCUUAGCUCUGGGAUAAGCCUGGGAAACUGGGUCUAAUACCGGAUAUGACUCCAUGACGCAUGUUGUGGGGUGGAAAGCCUUGUGCGGCUGGGGAUGGGCCCGCGGCCUAUCAGCUUGUUGGUGGGGUGAUGGCCUACCAAGGCGACGACGGGUAGCCGGCCUGAGAGGGCGACCGGCCACACUGGGACUGAGACACGGCCCAGACUCCUACGGGAGGCAGCAGUGGGGAAUCCUGCGCAAUGGGCGAAAGCCUGACGCAGCGACGCCGCGUGAGGGAUGACGGCCUC